Molecule: ribosomal RNA, 507 nt
Filed under: uncultured bacterium
Lineage: Bacteria
Description: partial 16S ribosomal RNA
Rfam family: Bacterial small subunit ribosomal RNA
Source: RNAcentral
GACGAACGCUGGCGGCGUGCCUAAUACAUGCAAGUCGAACGCAUUUUCUUUCACCGUAGCUUGCUACACCGAAAGAAAAUGAGUGGCGAACGGGUGAGUAACACGUGGGUAACAUGCCCAUCAGCGGGGGAUAACACUUGGAAACAGGUGCUAAUACCGCAUAAUUCCAUUUACCGCAUGGUAGAUGGAUGAAAGGCGCUUUUGCGUCACUGAUGGAUGGACCCGCGGUGCAUUAGCUAGUUGGUGGGGUAACGGCCUACCAAGGCUGCGAUGCAUAGCCGACCUGAGAGGGUGAUCGGCCACACUGGGACUGAGACACGGCCCAGACUCCUACGGGAGGCAGCAGUAGGGAAUCUUCGGCAAUGGACGCAAGUCUGACCGAGCAACGCCGCGUGAGUGAAGAAGGUUUUCGGAUCGUAAAACUCUGUUGUUAGAGAAGAACAAGGAUGAGAGUGGAAAGUUCAUCCCUUGACGGUAUCUAACCAGAAAGCCACGGCUAACUACGUG